ACUUGCAGGAUCUGACACAUCCUCUUGGUUUCCUAAGUCUUAUGACUAGCCAAUGCCUGAAAUAAUGAACUCCUCCAAGGCAAGAAAUCUGUUUUGAAGCUUCUCUGCGUUCACACACAGCAGCCUGGUUUCCUGGAAGGGCAUUUUCCACAUUGUGCGUUAUGGAUGAUCAUCCCAGGCAUCAGGUGUGAAGCCCUGCAUCCACAUCCAGGGGCUAUCAAAUCUCUCUGCAAAAGGAGAAGCUGGACUCAGGCACGUUUACAGUGAUGUGUAUGCAGGGUAUGCACAGAUGUGGAAACAGGAACUGAUGUGUCCAUUACACCACUAGGACAGAGGCCAGAACAAUGAAGAAACCAAAUACUUGGAAGAGGGUAGAGAUAAUGAAUGGAGUCCAAGAGCCCUGAUUGUGCCAUAAAUGUCCAGAUAAUUCCAUACCUGAGGAUUAUGUGGUUUGUAAACUUGGCACUUAGAAGAACCAAUAAAAUCAUGUUAUAGUUUCAAAAAAAAAAAA
This 511-nucleotide long non-coding RNA is filed under the name Homo sapiens (human). RNAcentral's name for it is "gastric adenocarcinoma associated, positive CD44 regulator, long intergenic non-coding RNA (GAPLINC)". The record is from RNAcentral. Lineage: Eukaryota; Metazoa; Chordata; Mammalia; Primates; Hominidae.